Molecule: ribosomal RNA, 408 nt
Filed under: uncultured bacterium
Lineage: Bacteria
Description: partial 16S ribosomal RNA
Rfam family: Bacterial small subunit ribosomal RNA
Source: RNAcentral
GACGAACGCUGGCGGCGUGCUUAACACAUGCAAGUCGAACGAAGUGGCGAACGGGUGGGUAAUACGAGAGUAACCUGCCCUCCUUUCUGGGAUAAGCCUUGGAAACGGGGUGUAAUAUAAAAUCAAGGGGGAGGGGCUGGCGGCCUAGCAGAUCGGUGGGGGGGUGAUGGCCUACCAAGGCGGUGACGGGUAGCCGGCCUGAGAGGGUUACCGGCCACAUUGGGACUGAGGUACGGCCCAGACUCCUACGGGAGGGAGCAGUGGGGGGUAUUGCACAAUUGGCGAAAGCCUGAUGCAGCGACGCCGCGUGGGGGAUUAAGGCUUUCGGGUUGUAAACCUCUUUCGCCUUCGAACGGGUAGGUGGAGAAGAAGCGCCGGCUAACUACGUGCCAGCAGCCGCGGUAAUUC